UGGGUAACCUGCCUCAAAGAGGGGAAUAGCCUCCCGAAAGGGAGAUUAAUACCGCAUAAUAUGUUUAAGUCGCAUGACUUUAACAUCAAAGGAUUUUCUUUUAGAAAUUCCACUUUGAGAUGGACCCCGCGGCGCAUUAGCUAGUUGGUGAGGUAACGGCUCACCAAGGCAACGAUGCGUAGCCGACCUGAGAGGGUGAUCGGCCACAUUGGAACUGAGACAGUCGGGUCCCAGUACCCUUCGUAACCGGGGGAGG
This 256-nucleotide ribosomal RNA is filed under the name uncultured bacterium. RNAcentral's name for it is "partial 16S ribosomal RNA". It matches the Rfam family "Bacterial small subunit ribosomal RNA", at positions 118 to 347 of the family's 1533-position model. The record is from RNAcentral.